AUCCUGGCUCAGGAUGAACGCUGGCGGCGUGCCUAAUACAUGCAAGUCGAACGAGAAGCCUUGGAUUUAUCUAAGGUGGAGAGUGGCGCACGGGUGAGUAACACAUGGCUGACCUGCCCCUCAGAGGGGGACAACCGGUGGAAACGCCGGCUAAUACCCCAUGCUUGCGUCCGGGUUAGAGGCCGGAUGCAGAAAGGCCGAGGCGCUGAGGGAGGGGGCUGUGGACCAUCAGCUAGUUGGUAGGGUAACGGCCUACCAAGGCGAGGACGGAUAGGGGGCCUGAGAGGGUGACCCCCCACACGGACACUGAGACACGGGCCCGACUCCUACGGGAGGCAGCAGUAAGGGAUAUUGCGACAAUGGGCGAAAGCCUGACGCAGCAACGCCGCGUGGAGGAUGAAGGCCUUCGGGUUGUAAACUCCUUUUCUGUGGGAAGAGGAAGGACGGUACCACAGGAAGAAGUCUCGGCUAACUACGUGCCAGCAGCCGCGGUAAAACGUAGGAGGCGAGCGUUAUCCGGAUUUACUGGGUGUAAAGCGCGUGCAGGCGGCUUGGUAAGUCGAGCGUGAAAGCUCCCGGCUCAACCGGGAGAGGACGUGCGAAACUGCGAGGCUAGAGACAGGUAGAGGCGUACGGAAUUCCGGGUGUAGUGGUGAAAUGCGUAGAUAUCCGGAGGAACACCAGUGGCGAAGGCGGUACGCUGGGCCUGGUCUGACGCUAAGACGCGAAAGCAUGGGGAGCGAACGGGAUUAGAAACCCCGGUAGUCCAUGCCGUAAACGAUGCUAACUAGGUGUUGCGGGUAAAAGACCGGCAGUGCCGGAGUUAACGCGAUAAGUUAGCCACCUGGGGACUACGGUCGCAAGGCUAAAACUCAAAGGAAUUGACGGGGGCCCGCACAAGCAGCGGAGCGUGUGGUUUAAUUCGAGGCUACACGAAGAACCUUACCUGGGCUUGACAUGUUGGUAGUAGUGAAGCGAAAGCGGAACGAUCCUUCGGGAAGCCAUCACAGGUGCUGCAUGGCUGUCGUCAGCUCGUGCCGUGAGGUGUUGGGUUAAGUCCUGUAACGAGCGCAACCCUCGCUGCCAGUUACAAGUGUCUGGCGGGACUGCCGGUGACAAACCGGAGGAAGGUGGGGAUGACGUCAAGUCAGCAUGGCCUUUAUGUCCAGGGCUACACACACGCUACAAUGGCCGGUACAAUAGGUUGCCAAGUCGUGAGGCGGAGCUAAUCCUCAAAACCGGUCUCAGUUCGAAUUGCAGGCUGCAACCCGCCUGCAUGAAGUUGGAGUUGCUAGUAAACNGCGCGUCAGCAAUAGUGCGUUGAAUACGUUCCCGGGCC
RNAcentral lists this ribosomal RNA (1339 nucleotides) under uncultured Chloroflexota bacterium. Its description in RNAcentral is "bacterial SSU rRNA". It matches the Rfam family "Bacterial small subunit ribosomal RNA", at positions 16 to 1380 of the family's 1533-position model. The record is from RNAcentral. Lineage: Bacteria; Bacillati; Chloroflexota.